Molecule: long non-coding RNA, 765 nt
Organism: Triticum dicoccoides
Lineage: Eukaryota; Viridiplantae; Streptophyta; Magnoliopsida; Poales; Poaceae
Exons: 2
Source: RefSeq, a predicted model, not a curated record
CGAUACAGGAGGACGUCUCCCACCGCAGAUCAAUGCGCCGCCGCCACAGACCAGGUCUCCUUCCUCUUCUUCGAUCCAAGGCAAUCUCUUUCCUGUUCUUUAGUCCAAUCCUUCUAUUUCCUGAUCCAAUCCUUCUUUAACCUGAAACUGUCCGGGGCUCACCCGAUCUCCUCCACCAGCGUGGCCACCAUCCUGAUCCCCUCUUUCUUCUCUACCAUGAGCGCCUACUCAGCCGAGAUUCGCCCGCGAGGAGAGGCAGGGAGCAGCAGCACGCCCUGGGCAUCCCGUGAGCCUGCCUAAUCCCGCUGUUGCCCUCCGAGAUUCGCCGACCAUAAGCAGUUCCGCGUGCACGGCCAUGGAAAGACCUCCAAGCCGCCGCCGAUUCGUGUACUUCGAGGCUGCCACCCACAACGAGGAACACGAGCGUGGUGCGUCGACGUGGCAAACCCGUUCUCCUUCCUCACUACCAUGUGCAGUUCGCCGAUGCCCGUCGCCAACCCAGUCCUUACGCGAACGACACAAUCUGGACCCUGGCAGCAGCCAUCGAUGGGAGCAUCGUGCAAAAAUAGUGUGUGAAACUAUCGUGGGCACAACAUUUCUGUUGGUUGUAUGAUCUAGAGUAGUUUCUUAGGUGGUGAUGUGCUACACUAGAUAUUACCUAAUGUUCUCCUGUGUACUCAGCUUGGGACUAGGCAGUAUGUUAUAGUGAAUUAAUAUACAGGUCGCACACACCUUGUGUUGGAUGCUUGAAAAAGCAAUGCAAAA